This is a long non-coding RNA of Salvia splendens (bonfire salvia), 819 nucleotides long. RefSeq lists it as uncharacterized. The transcript has 2 exons. NCBI's taxonomy places the organism in Eukaryota, Viridiplantae, Streptophyta, Magnoliopsida, Lamiales, Lamiaceae. The record is from RefSeq and is a predicted model, not a curated record.
CCCAUAGUUAUAUAUAUACCCAGACCAUUCCACAAUCUUUACCUUUCCUUCAAAUUUUGAGAUAGCAAAAGGAGUAGACAAAGCAGUGAGUUCCAUCCCUUCCUGCAAUUGCAAUUAUCCUAUCCAAAUUGAAGUGUGCAGUAGCUAAAAAGUGUUGAAGCGGCAGAGUGCAUGAACAACUUAAUCAACUCGGAAAGAAGCGAAAAAUGGCCAGAGCCGAAGACAAGUUGAUCAGUUGGGGACAAGCAAUGGAGUCUGGCUAGCCAACAAGUUGAUCAAGAGGGAGCUCGCCACAUGAAGACAUGAGAUAAUGAGUCAUAGGAGAGAGAAAGAAAGAUGCUAUCUCAAGGGCAUUAAUGUCAAAUUAGGAUGAGCUUAUCCUAGGGAUUUGUGCCCAAGGCCAUCCUAUAAAUAGUGGAGAGAAUGCACACCAGGGGAAGUUUUUUUUGGAGAGUCAACAAUCAUCAUCCACAGUCACUAUACUUCACACUUGAGUUCAUAACAUGGAGCAAGGAAACUAGGAGCCACUGGAAUAGACGUUCAACCACUACAUUCCUCUCUUCUUCCUCAUCGAGGGAGGAGAGAGCUAGAUCUGCCAGAGCCUUUUUCAUCGUUUGUGUUUUCUUUACACCUCGAGGGGUCAAAACAUUGUUACCUUGUCUUUAGUUUAUCUUUCUGAAUCUUAGUUGUUUUUGAUGUUAUACUUUUAGUUAACUCUAGUUAUCUUCCGUUUGUUGAUCGAUCUUAGCAUUUGAGUUCAUAAUUCUGUUUUUGUUUUGGUUAUUGAAGAUCGUUUAUGAAAUGGAGUUUUUAAUGCAA